Small nuclear RNA from Dromiciops gliroides (monito del monte), 103 nucleotides. NCBI's taxonomy places the organism in Eukaryota, Metazoa, Chordata, Mammalia, Microbiotheria, Microbiotheriidae. The record is from RefSeq and is a predicted model, not a curated record.
AUACUUUAGCAGCAUAUAUACUAAAAUUGGAAUGAUGCAGAGAGCAAUAGCAUGAACCCUUCACAAGAAUUACAUGUAAAGUGAUGAAAAAUUCCAUAUUUUA